UACACUCCUACGGGAGGCAGCAGUGGGGAAUAUUGGACAAUGGGCGCAAGCCUGAUCCAGCCAUGCCGCGUGAGUGAUGAAGGCCCUAGGGUUGUAAAGCUCUUUCACCGGUGAAGAUAAUGACGGUAACCGGAGAAGAAGCCCCGGCUAACUUCGUGCCAGCAGCCGCGGUAAUACGAAGGGGGCUAGCGUUGUUCGGAUUUACUGGGCGUAAAGCGCACGUAGGCGGACUAUUAAGUCAGGGGUGAAAUCCCGGGGCUCAACCCCGGAACUGCCUUUGAUACUGGUAGUCUUGAGUUCGAGAGAGGUGAGUGGAAUUCCGAGUGUAGAGGUGAAAUUCGUAGAUAUUCGGAGGAACACCAGUGGCGAAGGCGGCUCACUGGCUCGAUACUGACGCUGAGGUGCGAAAGCGUGGGGAGCAAACAGGAUUAGAUACCCGUGUAGUCCCA
Molecule: ribosomal RNA, 449 nt
Filed under: uncultured organism
Description: partial 16S ribosomal RNA
Rfam family: Bacterial small subunit ribosomal RNA
Source: RNAcentral